UACGGAGGGUGCAAGCGUUAAUCGGAAUUACUGGGCGUAAAGAGUACGUAGGUGGUUUAUUAAGUCAGAUGUGAAAGCCCUGGGCUUAACCUGGGAACUGCAUUUGAUACUGGUAGACUAGAGUAUGGCAGAGGGGGGUAGAAUUCCUAGUGUAGCGGUGAAAUGCGUAGAUAUUAGGAGGAAUACCAGUGGCGAAGGCGGCCCCCUGGACCAAUACUGACACUGAGGUACGAAAGCGUGGGGAGCAAACAGG
This 253-nucleotide ribosomal RNA is filed under the name uncultured bacterium. RNAcentral describes it as "partial 16S ribosomal RNA". It matches the Rfam family "Bacterial small subunit ribosomal RNA", at positions 524 to 776 of the family's 1533-position model. The record is from RNAcentral.